RNAcentral lists this ribosomal RNA (247 nucleotides) under uncultured Chlorophyceae. RNAcentral describes it as "partial Bacterial large subunit ribosomal RNA". It matches the Rfam family "Bacterial large subunit ribosomal RNA", at positions 1425 to 1671 of the family's 2925-position model. The record is from RNAcentral. Lineage: Eukaryota; Viridiplantae; Chlorophyta; Chlorophyceae.
ACGGGUUAAUAUUCCCGUACCUUUUAUUACUGCGAUGGAGAGACGGAGUAGGCUAAAUCAGACGGGCGUUGGUUGUCCCGAUCUAAGCGUGUAGGGAGUUUUCUUAGGCAAAUCCGGGAAAACACUAUCCUGAGACGUGAUGGCGAGGUCCUCUUUUGGACCGAGUGAUUGAUGCCAUGCUUCCAAGAAAAUCUUCUAAGCUUCAGGUAAUAAAAGACCGUACUCCAAACCGACACAGGUGGUCAGG